GCCCUUGUAGCUCAAUCGGUAGAGCACCUGUAUUGUUGACAGGAGGUUGAAGGUUCGAACCCUGCCGAGGGCCCCA
This 76-nucleotide transfer RNA is filed under the name Nitratireductor sp. Its description in RNAcentral is "tRNA-OTHER". It matches the Rfam family "tRNA". From Rfam's summary of the family: Transfer RNA (tRNA) molecules are approximately 80 nucleotides in length. Their secondary structure includes four short double-helical elements and three loops (D, anti-codon, and T loops). The record is from RNAcentral. Lineage: Bacteria; Pseudomonadati; Pseudomonadota; Alphaproteobacteria; Hyphomicrobiales; Phyllobacteriaceae. RNAcentral also lists the same sequence under 4 other names.